Loxodonta africana (African savanna elephant) is the source of this 72-nucleotide transfer RNA. It matches the Rfam family "tRNA". Rfam says of the family: Transfer RNA (tRNA) molecules are approximately 80 nucleotides in length. Their secondary structure includes four short double-helical elements and three loops (D, anti-codon, and T loops). The record is from Rfam. NCBI's taxonomy places the organism in Eukaryota, Metazoa, Chordata, Mammalia, Proboscidea, Elephantidae.
GCCCUGGUGGUGCAAUGGUUAAGCGUCUGGCUGCUAACCAAAAGGUCGGUGGUUCAAACCCACCCAGAGGCU